RNAcentral lists this long non-coding RNA (286 nucleotides) under Camponotus floridanus (Florida carpenter ant). RNAcentral describes it as "uncharacterized LOC112639648, transcript variant X1". The record is from RNAcentral. Lineage: Eukaryota; Metazoa; Arthropoda; Insecta; Hymenoptera; Formicidae.
UUUUAAUUGGAUUUGGUGUGAUUACCUUGAGUGUCAACCUUUUUGAACUAAUUACGCUGGACAAGAAAUUAUAGAUCACAAUAAUCAUAUAUAUUAUACCGCAUAUAGCGGUUGCUGGUAUGUAGCACCGUUACACGUACAGAAGCUGAUAUUAUUUUUAUUACAAAGAGGCAGCAAAGUUGUUAGUUUAAAUGUGGGAGGACUGUUCGCAGCAUCUUUAAACUGCUUUGCUUCCUUAGCAAGUGCAUCGGUAUCUUAUUUCACUUUUAUAUAUUCUACACAUUAA